GAUGAACGCUGGCGGCGUGCCUAACACAUGCAAGUCGAACGGAGAAUUAUUGCCGAGGAGACUUCGGUCAAAUCAUAAUAAUUCUUAGUGGCGAACGGGUGAGUAACGCGUGGGGAACCUGCCUCACACCGGGGGAUAGCAGUUGGAAACGACUGGUAAUACCGCAUAAGCGCACAGUAUCGCAUGAUACAGUGUGAAAAACUCCGGUGGUGUGAGAUGGCCCCGCGUCUGAUUAGCUAGUUGGUAGAGUAAAAGCCUACCAAGGCGACGAUCAGUAGCCGGGUUGAGAGACCGGACGGCCACAUUGGGACUGAGACACGGCCCAGACUCCUACGGGAGGCAGCAGUGGGGGAUAUUGCACAAUGGAGGAAACUCUGAUGCAGCGACGCCGCGUGAGUGAAGAAGUAUUUCGGUAUGUAAAGCUCUAUCAGCAGGGAAGAAAGACUCGAAAGAGAGAUGACGGUACCUGACUAAGAAGCUCCGGCUAAAUACGUGCCAGCAGCCGCGGUAAUACGUAUGGAGCAAGCGUUAUCCGGAUUUACUGGGUGUAAAGGGAGCGCAGACGGUUAUGCAAGUCUGAAGUGAAAAACCACGGCUCAACUGUGGUCUUGCUUUGGAAACUGUGUAACUAGAGUGUCGGAAGGGUAAGCGGAAUUCCUAGUGUAGCGGUGAAAUGCGUAGAUAUUAGGAAGAACACCGGAGGCGAAGGCGGCUUACUGGACGAUAACUGACGUUGAGGCUCGAAGGCGUGGGUAGCAAACAGG
This 764-nucleotide ribosomal RNA is filed under the name uncultured Butyrivibrio sp. RNAcentral describes it as "bacterial SSU rRNA". It matches the Rfam family "Bacterial small subunit ribosomal RNA", at positions 28 to 776 of the family's 1533-position model. Lineage: Bacteria; Bacillati; Bacillota; Clostridia; Lachnospirales; Lachnospiraceae. The record is from RNAcentral.